AGCGAACGCUGGCGGCAGGCUUAACACAUGCAAGUCGAGCGGGCAUCUUCGGAUGUCAGCGGCAGACGGGUGAGUAACACGUGGGAACGUACCCUUCGGUUCGGAACAACUCUGGGAAACUGGAGCUAAUACCGGAUACGCCCUUAUGGGGAAAGGUUUACUGCCGAAGGAUCGGCCCGCGUCUGAUUAGCUAGUUGGUGGGGUAACGGCCUACCAAGGCGACGAUCAGUAGCUGGUCUGAGAGGAUGAUCAGCCACACUGGGACUGAGACACGGCCCAGACUCCUACGGGAGGCAGCAGUGGGGAAUAUUGGACAAUGGGCGCAAGCCUGAUCCAGCCAUGCCGCGUGAGUGAUGAAGGCCCUAGGGUUGUAAAGCUCUUUUGUCCGGGACGAUAAUGACGGUACCGGAAGAAUAAGCCCCGGCUAACUUCGUG
This 435-nucleotide ribosomal RNA is filed under the name uncultured bacterium. Its description in RNAcentral is "partial 16S ribosomal RNA". It matches the Rfam family "Bacterial small subunit ribosomal RNA", at positions 29 to 507 of the family's 1533-position model. The record is from RNAcentral.